Molecule: ribosomal RNA, 497 nt
Filed under: uncultured bacterium
Lineage: Bacteria
Description: partial 16S ribosomal RNA
Rfam family: Bacterial small subunit ribosomal RNA
Source: RNAcentral
GAUGAACGCUGGCGGCGUGCCUAAUACAUGCAAGUCGAGCGAACAGACGAGGAGCUUGCUCCUCUGACGUUAGCGGCGGACGGGUGAGUAACACGUGGAUAACCUACCUAUAAGACUGGGAUAACUUCGGGAAACCGGAGCUAAUACCGGAUAACAUGUUGAACCGCAUGGUUCAACAGUGAAAGACGGUCUUGCUGUCGCUUAUAGAUGGAUCCGCGCCGCAUUAGCUAGUUGGUAAGGUAACGGCUUACCAAGGCAACGAUGCGUAGCCGACCUGAGAGGGUGAUCGGCCACACUGGAACUGAGACACGGUCCAGACUCCUACGGGAGGCAGCAGUAGGGAAUCUUCCGCAAUGGGCGAAAGCCUGACGGAGCAACGCCGCGUGAGUGAAGAAGGUCUUCGGAUCGUAAAACUCUGUUAUUAGGGAAGAACAAAUGUGUAAGUAACUGUGCACGUCUUGACGGUACCUAAUCAGAAAGCCACGGCUAACUACGUG